UACGUAGGGACCAAGCGUUGUUCGGAUUUACUGGGCGUAAAGGGCGCGUAGGCGGCAUGACAAGUCACUUGUGAAAUCUCCGGGCUUAACUCGGAACGGCCAGGUGAUACUGUCACGCUAGAGUGCAGAAAGGGCAAUCGGAAUUCUUGGUGUAGCGGUGAAAUGCGUAGAUAUCAAGAGGAACACCUGAGGCGAAGGCGGGUUGCUAGGCUGACACUGACGCUGAGUGCGCGAAAGCCAGGGGAGCAAACGGG
This 254-nucleotide ribosomal RNA is filed under the name uncultured bacterium. RNAcentral describes it as "partial 16S ribosomal RNA". It matches the Rfam family "Bacterial small subunit ribosomal RNA", at positions 524 to 776 of the family's 1533-position model. The record is from RNAcentral.